GUUGUGAAUCAGCAUUCGGAAGACUAGAAGCCUGAGAUUGUGCUUUCUGAGCCCUUCGUGCCUGCCUUUCCUUUUCUGUAUCUGCCCAUUUGACAACCAAAGGAACACUUGAACCCUCCAUUUUGUGCUUUCCGUUGACAGCCUCCAGGGCAGCAAGGGCUUGUUCUUUAGUAUCAUACUUCAAAAAGGCACAUCCUUUGCUUGUCUGCUGAGAACCUCUUAGAAUUUGUAAAUCCUUUA
RNAcentral lists this unclassified non-coding RNA (240 nucleotides) under Hevea brasiliensis (rubber tree). The record is from RNAcentral. Lineage: Eukaryota; Viridiplantae; Streptophyta; Magnoliopsida; Malpighiales; Euphorbiaceae.